CUACGCAGGCCCGACCGGCCAAUAGGCAAUUAGUUAUCGUUACAAUACACGCAUGUGGCAGUCACGGCCGUGUUUCUAUGCUAUGUGGCAUGCGCUGUUCGUAGUUCGUUCUCCUUGUCGUCCAUCUUGAAAUAGUUUCGUAAGCUGUGUGUGUUUACUGUGUUUGUUUUGUCUGGAGGAAAUUAAUUGUACUUUGUCAUGAGUGAUUGAAAUGUAUUCUGUUUCAACAUAGUGAUGGACAUGUUUAAACAUCUGCUUAAAAACAAAAUGACAUAACCGAUUUUGAAGAAAGCUCUCCACUUUCAAGUCUACUGAUAUGAUGAAAAAGAUAUUUGAGGCCGUAGUGCUGAUGUGGGUACAUCUGAUUGAAGCAAUCUAAAAAUGUAGGAAUAGACCAUUAUAUUUAUUUAAAGAGGUGUGCUCAAUGUAUAUACCUGAAUGUUGAAAACUACUAUUUUAUUAUUUUCUGAAUAAAUUGGUUUGAGACCUAAA
This is a long non-coding RNA of Coccinella septempunctata (seven-spotted ladybird), 492 nucleotides long. RefSeq lists it as uncharacterized. Lineage: Eukaryota; Metazoa; Arthropoda; Insecta; Coleoptera; Coccinellidae. The record is from RefSeq and is a predicted model, not a curated record. The transcript is spliced from 2 exons.